This is a non-coding RNA of Vibrio sp., 161 nucleotides long. The record is from Rfam. NCBI's taxonomy places the organism in Bacteria, Pseudomonadati, Pseudomonadota, Gammaproteobacteria, Vibrionales, Vibrionaceae.
CCAAUCUCGGACUGUUGAGAAACAACUCAAUUCUGGGGGAUACGCGCAGUGACCAUUCAAGCUGAUUGUGACGCUGCGUAGGGUAGGUAUCGGUAAAGCGGUUACCGAUAGACGGGAUACUAGUGUUGCUAGAAGGCAACAUGUUAAUGGGAAACCCAACA